AGUUUGAUCAUGGCUCAGAACGAACGCUGGCGGCAGGCCUAACACAUGCAAGUCGAGCGCACCUUCGGGUGAGCGGCGGACGGGUUAGUAACGCGUGGGAACGUACCCUUUUCUACGGAAUAGCCUCGGGAAACUGAGAGUAAUACCGUAUAAGCCCUUCGGGGGAAAGAUUUAUCGGGAAAGGAUCGGCCCGCGUUAGAUUAGAUAGUUGGUGGGGUAAUGGCCUACCAAGUCUACGAUCUAUAGCUGGUUUUAGAGGAUGAUCAGCAACACUGGGACUGAGACACGGCCCAGACUCCUACGGGAGGCAGCAGUGGGGAAUCUUAGACAAUGGGCGCAAGCCUGAUCUAGCCAUGCCGCGUGUGUGAUGAAGGUCUUAGGAUCGUAAAGCACUUUCGCCAGGGAUGAUAAUGACAGUACCUGGUAAAGAAACCCCGGCUAACUCCGUGCCAGCAGCCGCGGUAAUACGGAGGGGGUUAGCGUUGUUCGGAAUUACUGGGCGUAAAGCGUACGUAGGCGGAUCAGAAAGUUGGGGGUGAAAUCCCAGGGCUCAACCCUGGAACUGCCUCCAAAACUCCUGGUCUUGAGUUCGAGAGAGGUGAGUGGAAUUCCAAGUGUAGAGGUGAAAUUCGUAGAUAUUUGGAGGAACACCAGUGGCGAAGGCGGCUCACUGGCUCGAUACUGACGCUGAGGUACGAAAGUGUGGGGAGCAAACAGGAUUAGAUACCCUGGUAGUCCACACCGUAAACGAUGAAUGCCAGUCGUCGGGCAGUAUACUGUUCGGUG
This 786-nucleotide ribosomal RNA is filed under the name Rhodobacteraceae bacterium MOLA 1466. Its description in RNAcentral is "bacterial SSU rRNA". It matches the Rfam family "Bacterial small subunit ribosomal RNA", at positions 10 to 845 of the family's 1533-position model. The record is from RNAcentral. Lineage: Bacteria; Pseudomonadati; Pseudomonadota; Alphaproteobacteria; Rhodobacterales; Paracoccaceae.